UGUUUAGGUAAUUCAUCCCUCGUUAAAUGCUGCUACCAGCAGGAACAUUCCAGCGGGUCGUUUGUUAUUCAGAAUCGAAUAUUCUCGGUUUACUUGAAAGCGUUGCUCAUGUUUUCGAAUAGAAUUCUACGAUCGCGAUGUCGGCGAUGACGCGUCGCCUCAAUCUUUAAAGGAACUUUGUCAUAUCGUUAUUUUGUUGUGGGAGGUGUACUUUUUAUUUCGGGGAGGGAUGAGACAGAGCGUAGGACAACGUGGUCGUCGCUUGCCAAGUGGACGACACAGAAAUAGUAAUGAUUCCCGGAAUUCGUACUAACGUUAGACUUGCGCGGUCUAACCUUUGCGUUAAGGGGAAUUCCCAUAAGGAACGUCACAAAAAUCGUCUUUUUGAAAUCUGUAUUUUCCAAGAAUAUAUAUUCCUGAAAAUUUCAUGUAUCAUAUUUCGUGUUCGACUUAGACAAAAAUAUUCACUUGUCACUCGUCCCAAGGAAAGUACCAUCAACAUUCGCACAAGAUAGCAAACCCUAGUAUCGAUGGCAACCCUAAGUCCAAUAAAAUUCCUAGUAAGAAAUCGUUCAACCCUCAACGCGUCGACUUGGAUAACACACUGUCCCGCUAUUUCGCUUAUGUAUUUCCAAAGCGUUUCAUCGAAUAAAAAUUUCAACGAUUACCUAAACAAUCGCCUUUCCAUUUGGGAAUCUCCUCUUAGGCUGACCAGAGAAAAUCGGAUUAUAACUCACGCGAUCACGAAAGCGCGAAGUGGUCGAGGAUGAUCGGUGGAUCCGUCGAAUUUCGGCUUAUUUUUGAAUUUGGCCGUCGUCCAGAUGCGUUUUGCCGUUGACGUGCAAUGACGUGACGAUGGAAGACACCCAUCGACGCCCACCGUGCGCCACAGAUCUCUGUGAAAACUCCCAUAGUCUUUUUACUCUUUGAAACGCUUUUCCGUGGUUCGUUUCACUCUGAGUUCGGAGAAACGCGAUCGUUCGUGUCCAAGAUUGCCACUUGUAACACGUUGAUUGCCGCAUGAAUAUUUGCGAACAUUUCUGUGAGAAUAAAAUUUCCUUUCGAGAAGAAAUAUAACGUUUAUGGUAGUACACGAUUCAACAGAUGUGCGUUAAAGAAAUUAAAUAAUAUUCAAAGAGGUUAAGGGUUAACGUUGGACCCCUUUAAGGAAUCUCAAGGCAGGGGGCGUAUAAUCGCGGACGCGAUACGAAUUUGUGGUUCUUGUUACGAAUAACAUGCUAGACCUAUAAAUAACGAUGAUGCCAGUUGAUAUUUACGUUUCUAAUAAUAAUGCCACCGAUGCGUUCGCGAUAUCGAGAUCCGCCGUCGCGAUCGAUAUUAUUCUUUGUGAAAAGUGUCGCGUUAUUGAGUCUCCGUCUCCACGAUGGAAUCCAGUGGAAUCCAGUCUGCUUUCUCGUGUUCAUAUAUUUCCUAAAAUCUGCCAGUUGUGUUUCUACCUUGAACGGAGAUAGCGUUUAUAACGUUAACAUUUGGGUUGCCAGUCUCGAGGAACGAACUAUACACUUUCUAGACUGAAAUAUCACGAGCGAUUUGCAUAGCGCUUGCCGCACUACCGUAUUAACGAACAUAAUUGCCAGCGAGCGUAUUAUCGUGUCCAGAAGAUGACGUGCCGCGGUCUUGCGCGGUCGAUCAUUAGCAGUUAAAAUGAAAAUAAUGGCUUCCGGGAAUCAGUUUCACAGACUCAUUCGUGGCCAAGUUCGAAACCUCAAUUACGUAUAGCAACGCGGUGUAUUUCCUGGAGCGUUAGUUGCCCUCUUAAUAAACGUUCCAAUCCCAAAGAGUUAAUAGUAAAACUUGUGCAUAUAAUAAAAAGAUAAACCAAAGUCUAUUCUUAUUUCUCGAUCCGCUCAUUUGGGAUGCUCUUCAUGGGAAACGGUAGCAUAAACGUUUAUUUCGUCCAAGCCUGAGAAAUUUGUCUUUUUCUAUAAUUAUAGCUACAUCAUCGACCGUGUUGAUGUUCAUGUACCAAUGUCGCCGACGUCCUCGCGUUCUUUCUCUACUGGCCGAACUUCAAUGACCAGAUCGCAGUCAUAUAUCAAUCGGACACGGUUAUCUUGUUUUCACCACGCGAGAUCAUCCAACAUUCGCGACAUAAGCCCUAUCCACUCGAAAGUCAACGAUGUACUUAGUAAAUAUUUAUUCGUUUCAGCUGCUGGUUAAAGAUUAACGUCUUGAGAUCCACGAAUAAUACCCGAGCUGGCCUGGGAAGAAUGCAUAAAACCGACGUAUCAAAUUUUCCUCGCGAUCGUGCAAACUGGCCGAUAUAAUACAAAAUAUUAAUAGAAUUGCUCGUAUAUGUGGAAUUAAGUAAUAAUCGUUCUUCCUUACGAUAUCAAAUGUCUCGAUGCUUUCGUCUGGCACUCGUGUUGAUAUUUCCAACACGUAAACCUGGAAAUGCUACAACACAGGCGUCCAUUCAGCGAAUAACUCACUGUCCCAGCAUUGACACUGACGGAAGACCGGACAAUUGGUCCCCCCGCCCUUUCUUUGAUCUCAGAAAUAUCGUUUGCAUCUCAAGGACGCCUUGACGAGGAAGUUGCAAGUUUUCUAAUGACGUCCGCGAUCGCCCACUGCUUCUGGAUGCGAAUCAAGCCCGUGAUUUCCUCGCGUCUAGAAGAGACGCGUACGUCGACUGAGAAAUUCCGACUUUCGUCGAACUCGAGUCUGGAUGAUUAUUUAUUUUCAGCUGGCAAAGCUAACCUGCGACGUUCGCGAUUUCCUACUCAAGGAUUCUUUCGUGUACGCAGCCACUCUGGAUCGUUUCGGGAUAAAUAUCUUUGGCAUCGGGCAGCCUUUCCUCGUCGCUGGAAUAGCUGCCAAAUUCUGCCUAUUUACAAAUCGAGACAUGGCUCGCGUUUAGCUACCGUGUACAUUGAAAACCAUAAAGCUUUCGAUUCAACUGGUUUCUACGUAAACAGUUUUACAGACAACAGCAAAGAGAAAUAAAUACAAUAUUCCCGUUAGUUAGACUGAUUUGAAUAAAGCGUCGCGAGUUGAGCGAACCACGCUUCGCACGACGGUCGCAUAUGCUCGCAUGGUUCACGGUUUAAUUCUGUGCCUCUGUUAUCGAUAAUUUACAACUCUAUUUUAAACAGAUAUUCCUCAUCGCAAGAUGACGAUUAAGUAAGUGAUUAAAUAUAAAUGCACAGAAUUAAUGUCUACAUCUACUAAAUACUUUUAUAAGGCAUGUUUCCACGUGUGCGUAAAGAAUGUGGGUUUACAGUUGUCGGUAAAUAAUAACGCCGCGCCGUUGCUUCGCAAUCAAUUGCCGUGACUGCGUCAGUGAAAGGCCACGCAAAUGACUCGUUAGUUUUGUACGUGACAAAAUGUUGCCGCGCGUGUUCGAAAGGAACGAUCUCUGUAAAGGGUGAAGGAUUCAUCUGCCGUCCACCUUUCCCCAUUGUCGAGGCGUCUACGCGUUACUCACCUGACCAUAAAGAUAACUUUCGUGAAUCAUAAAAGUGACUAUGCAUCGGUGUGCCGUGGGUGUAUCCAUGCGUGGCUCGCACACGUACUCGGAAGCGGAUAGGCGCGUACAGUCGAUGAAUAGCCAACUCGAAUCAUUAACGUUCGAUAUCGUACGCUUUUACGCGCCGCCCAAAAUCGUCGAUAUUUUAGUCGUAGUAAUUCGUUGCCACGGGUUAAUAACGCAGAAGAAGAUAUAGGGGAUGCGAUUUCUGCACCGCUGAGGUCGAUCAUUCUUUCUCUGCUCGGCCACCGUAUACACGCAACGGAAAACACACGAGCGUUCGCGUGCGUGUCGAGCGACGGUUCCCAUGGGAUGCGAAGGAUGUACGCGAUAUUUUCAAGUUUCCCAGCAGUCCCACGGCGACUUCCGGUUCCGCGGCUAGUUAUUCGCUUCCGGUGCCAUGACAAUUUUCCAUCGGCGAGGAUAACGUCUGUGGAAAAAUAAUUGACGCUGUACGAUUCCAUUUCAUCGGACUGGAAAUUGCAAGAACGCGAAGCAGUUAUGUUUUCAUACUUACGUACCGAGCCCAAGAACCAUUGUACAGCAUAAUUUUGUCUCGUUCUCUUGAUUUAUCCGUGUCUCCAAUUACGGUACUUGGUUGCAUAAUGACGAGUGCCUGGAAGACGUCGUAACGUUACAACGAAAACGAAUAAGUGUACACGUAACGGGUAACCGAACGAAACGUUUCUCUACGACCUUGAUCCUUUUUUUCCCCGUGAAAUAUGGCGCAGGUGUUUACCUGGCCGGUCGGGAUGCAACCAGGCCUGUCCGUCCGUCGUGCGCAAGCCAACUUGAAACCGGAAGCGUCGCUUUCUGCCCUGCUGGCCACGAACAAUGAGAUCGAGAGAUUCCUGGGAGGACGCGAGCACGAUCAAACGCUAAGGAUACAUUGACACCGACGUUUCCGGUUGUUUGUGCCUGCCCGAGCGAUCGAUAGAGCGUCGAGACAAUGGAGAAGAUCUUUUCACGGCCAGUGUCGCCGCGUAGUUCGAGUUCGGACGGCAACAGGUGUGAUGCAACAGAGUGGAUACGAAGGAUCUUCCCUCUCGCUUCUCGAUCGUUCCUGCAUCCACGAGGGAACGGGCCGUUUAUUCGAAACACCUAAAAACGCACGAAGGAACAUCGUUAAACCGAAGAAACUGGUUGGCGAUUGGAAAUGGGAUGAAUCGAAGUCGAGAUUUUCACCCUUCGAGCGCUAUGGGCGCAUGUACGGGCAAUUAUCGUUGUUUUU
Hylaeus anthracinus is the source of this 4721-nucleotide long non-coding RNA. RefSeq lists it as uncharacterized. The transcript has 3 exons. NCBI's taxonomy places the organism in Eukaryota, Metazoa, Arthropoda, Insecta, Hymenoptera, Colletidae. The record is from RefSeq and is a predicted model, not a curated record.